This 1000-nucleotide ribosomal RNA is filed under the name Thraustochytrium sp. DBTIOC-13. Its description in RNAcentral is "partial 18S ribosomal RNA". It matches the Rfam family "Eukaryotic small subunit ribosomal RNA", at positions 1 to 1099 of the family's 1831-position model. The record is from RNAcentral. Lineage: Eukaryota; Bigyra; Thraustochytrida; Thraustochytriidae.
UCCCUGCAUCUCUCUAAGAUUAGCCAUGCAUGUGUAAGUAUAAGCGAUUGUACUGUGAGACUGCGAACGGCUCAUUAUAUCAGUAAUAAUUUCUUCGGUAGUUUCUUUUAUAUGGAUACCUGCAGUAAUUCUGGAAAUAAUACAUGCUGUAAGAGCCCUGUAUGGGGCUGCACUUAUUAAAUUGAAGCCGAUUUUAUUGGUGAAUCAUGAUAAUUGAGCAAAUUGACUUUUUUUGCCAAAAAACCCUUUGGAUUUUUCCCCCCUCCAUUUCCCCCGGGAGGGUUUUGGAAUCCGGGGACCUAAACGGGGGACGGAAAAUUUGGGCCCCCCCCCGGAAAGGGAACCCGAAAAACGGCUCCCCAUUCCAAGGAAAAAAACCGGGCCCUAAAUUUCCCCCUUGGGAUCCCCCAAGGGAAGGGCAAAAAAAUUUCAUGGAAAAGGGGUUUGCCUUUUUUUUUCGAAAAAGAAACAAGUGAAAACCCCCCCCCAGAAACAACUGGGGGGGAAAUUUGGGGCCCAAACCCCCGGAAAUUCCCCCCCCCAAAACCAUUUUUAAAUUUUUUUCCAUUAAAAAACCCCCAAUUAAAUUUUUGGGUUGGGCAACCCGGGUUUUCCCGAAAAGGGAAUUAAUUUUUUUGUUUCCCUUGGCCCCCUUUUCUUUUCCUUUUUUGGGAAAAAAUCUUUCCCUGGAAAAAAAACAAAAUGUUCCAAGCGGGGCCAAAAACCGGAUUUUUAUUAAUGGAAAAAAAAAAAAGAACCUGGGGGCCAUUUUGGGGGUUUUCCCCCCUCAAAAAAAGAUAAAAAGAGACCAUUUGGGGGUUUUUCUUUCUUUAGGAACUUAAAGGGAAAAUUUUUUGUAUUUUUUACAAAAAACAUACAAAAACCCAAAGGCUUUUUUCAAUUUUUUGUUUUUUUUUUAAUUCAAAAAACAAAAUCCGGGGGGUUCCAAGUAACUUAUUUAAACCCCCUUUUUUAUCUCAUCCCCUUUACUCCCCCUCCC